UACGGAGGGUGCAAACGUUGCCCGGAAUCAUUGGGCGUAAAGCGCACGCAGGCGGCCUUGCAAGUCGGAUGUGAAAUCCCUCGGCUUAACCAAGGAAGUGCAUUCGAAACUGCAAGGCUUGAGUACUGGAGAGGGUCGCGGAAUUCUCGGUGUAGAGGUGAAAUUCGUAGAUAUCGGGAGGAACACCAGUGGCGAAGGCGGCGACCUGGACAGAUACUGACGCUGAGGUGCGAAAGCGUGGGGAGCAAACAGG
Molecule: ribosomal RNA, 253 nt
Filed under: uncultured bacterium
Lineage: Bacteria
Description: partial 16S ribosomal RNA
Rfam family: Bacterial small subunit ribosomal RNA
Source: RNAcentral